CCGUGACCCGGUGAACCG
This 18-nucleotide small nuclear RNA is filed under the name Arabidopsis thaliana (thale cress). RNAcentral describes it as "snRNA_00114". The record is from RNAcentral. Lineage: Eukaryota; Viridiplantae; Streptophyta; Magnoliopsida; Brassicales; Brassicaceae.